AUUGAACGCUGGCGGCAGGCCUAACACAUGCAAGUCGAGCGGAUGAGUGGAGCUUGCUCCAUGAUUCAGCGGCGGACGGGUGAGUAAUGCCUAGGAAUCUGCCUGGUAGUGGGGGACAACGUUUCGAAAGGAACGCUAAUACCGCAUACGUCCUACGGGAGAAAGCAGGGGACCUUCGGGCCUUGCGCUAUCAGAUGAGCCUAGGUCGGAUUAGCUAGUAGGUGAGGUAAUGGCUCACCUAGGCGACGAUCCGUAACUGGUCUGAGAGGAUGAUCAGUCACACUGGAACUGAGACACGGUCCAGACUCCUACGGGAGGCAGCAGUGGGGAAUAUUGGACAAUGGGCGAAAGCCUGAUCCAGCCAUGCCGCGUGUGUGAAGAAGGUCUUCGGAUUGUAAAGCACUUUAAGUUGGGAGGAAGGGCAGUAAGGUUAAUAACCUUGCUGUUUUGACGUUACCAACAGAAUAAGCACCGGCUAACUUCGUGCCAG
This 490-nucleotide ribosomal RNA is filed under the name uncultured bacterium. RNAcentral describes it as "bacterial SSU rRNA". It matches the Rfam family "Bacterial small subunit ribosomal RNA", at positions 30 to 511 of the family's 1533-position model. The record is from RNAcentral.